RNAcentral lists this long non-coding RNA (910 nucleotides) under Homo sapiens (human). RNAcentral describes it as "HSALNT0039062". Lineage: Eukaryota; Metazoa; Chordata; Mammalia; Primates; Hominidae. The record is from RNAcentral.
GAAGCAUCAGACACUGGGGGGCGCUUCUUGAACAGGCACUGGGCUAGACAGCCCAGACCUCGCGGAAACAAAGCGGGAAGGGGCCGCUCCUGGGGAGUUUUUCCCAGCUUCCCUGGGCCGGUGAGGGGUCCUGGCGUCCUGAACUGGAGAUGCUCCUUAGAGGGCACUGCUUCAGCCACCCCUGCCUUAGCAUACAUACGGGUCCCACAGGGGUCCUUCGACACCAGCUCAUCGUCUGGGUUCCACCAUCCACCCACGCACUCAUUUGGCAGCUAUCAACGGAGUAUUCACAGUACGCUGCUCACAGUUCUAACCGCGGAGGAUAGAGUUGAGGCCCACACGACAGCCCCUGCUCUCACAGAACUGAUGUCUCUAGAAGAGUCUUCCCUCAGUGAGAACGUUCUGAUUUCUAGAACAUUCUUUCUUCUGAUGAGUGAACAGCCUCACCGGAACUUCCCCAUCCUCCUGGCUUGGUUCCUGAAGUGGCCCAAGGCUGCCUUCUCCCUCCCGUGGGUGAACAGGGUCACUGCUUCCUCUCUUGUCCAGGCCCCCUGGCCUGACCCUGAGUCCCGGGCGUAACGGCGUUGUUGAACCACCACAACCCCAGGCGGCGCCUUCCUCUUGGCCCAGGGGCUCUCUUGGGGACAGUGUGCAGUACUCCCCAAGGGGGCUUUGCUGUGCAAAAGCAGCCCCUGCCGAUGCUGCGGCUCCCGUGGAUGGAGCACUGCCGUGGGAACAGAGUUGGAACUCAUCCAAAAGAAUAAAAGACAACUGUGUUGGAAGAUUGCCAAGGUUUGUAGCUGUGCCACCGCAGACUUCAGAGAUGAACACUGCCUUGGAGACGAGGAGGAUUCAAGUUGCAGAAGCAUUUAGGUGCUGCGUGAACCCCAGCAGGGCCAUUCCAGAUGCU